UACGUAGGGGGCAAGCGUUGUCCGGAAUCAUUGGGCGUAAAGCGCGCGUAGGCGGCCCGGUAAGUCCGCUGUAAAAGUCAAAGGCUCAACCUUUGAAUGCCGGUGGAUACUGUCGGGCUAGAGUCCGGAAGAGGCGAGUGGAAUUCCUGGUGUAGCGGUGGAAUGCGCAGAUAUCUGGAGGAACACCGGUGGCGAAGGCGACAUCCUGGACCAACACUGACGCUGAGUGAGCGAAAGCCAGGGGAGCAAACGGG
Molecule: ribosomal RNA, 254 nt
Filed under: uncultured bacterium
Lineage: Bacteria
Description: partial 16S ribosomal RNA
Rfam family: Bacterial small subunit ribosomal RNA
Source: RNAcentral